AGAUACAUGGGAGAACUUUGGGAUUUUGAUUUCAAUGCUAAUAGCUUUGUAAUAGAAUUUUUAUGAACGCCUUUAGUUGUAUUUGAUUUAUAUAGUUUUCAAAAUUCAGUUAUAAUAAAUGGAAGUUUUUAUUUAAACUUUAUCUCGCAAUGGUAUCCGAAUUAAGUGUUAAAAAGUUUUUGUAAACCCGUGACAUCCCAAAAUCUGGGGUGUUAGACGAGUAGCCCUUUCCAACCACUAGAACUCGCUUACCUGAAUACCCUUUGCCAGGAAGACUUUCGGUAUAGGGAUCAUUAUACUCGUUGUGAACUCUUCUACAAUCUCAUAGAAUGUCCUCACUUUGCGUCUUUUUCACCGCAAAAAUUACCAUAGUGCAUCUUUUUCACCGCACUCAGGAGCAAAACACUGUUUGCAAGAUUAGUCAUCUCUUACUCUCUCUUUCUUCUUUCCCUUUUACUCUCUUUUUCGGACACUCUAGGUAUUUGACUCUCUCCUUUUUUUGUUCUCUUUUUUCUCUCUAAACUCGGCCCUCUUUCCUUUUUUUCUCUAUCGAUAUUUGACUCUCCCUCUCACUUCCUUUUUUCUCUUUUUCUUUUUCUCUUACUCACUCCUCCUCCAGCGGAAGCAUUCCCAACCAAACCAUCAGCUCUGAUACCACUGUUGGGAAAAUCUCACGAUACCCACUCAUAACGUGACCCAC
Molecule: long non-coding RNA, 700 nt
Filed under: Vigna radiata
Lineage: Eukaryota; Viridiplantae; Streptophyta; Magnoliopsida; Fabales; Fabaceae
Description: long non-coding RNA (VRAD_LNC008351)
Source: RNAcentral